CUCGUAGGCGGUCCAUCACGUCGGGAGUGAAAAGCUGGGGCUUAACCCCAGUCCUGCUUCCGAUACGGGUGGACUAGAGGUAUGCAGGGGAGAACGGAAUUCCUGGUGUAGCGGUGAAAUGCGCAGAUAUCAGGAGGAACACCGGUGGCGAAGGCGGUUCUCUGGGCAUUACCUGACGCUGAGGAGCGAAAGCAUGGGGGACAAAC
Molecule: ribosomal RNA, 206 nt
Filed under: uncultured bacterium
Lineage: Bacteria
Description: partial 16S ribosomal RNA
Rfam family: Bacterial small subunit ribosomal RNA
Source: RNAcentral